CUAACAACAAACGCAAACAUGUUAUCUCCACAGCAAAUCCAACCGAAGUUGCUUUCAAGUCCACAUCCCACUGCCUCUGCCCAAACAGCUGGUCAUCUUUGGUCUCGGAGAAUGGAAAAACAGCGAGACGACAAUCUCAGUAGAUGUUCUGGUCAGUGCAGAAGUACCUGCCCAGAACAUUGGGACUCUGACACAACAAGCAAGACUUGUGAUCAGCCGCAGGACAAAGCCAGUGUCUUGAGCAGUACUCCUCUGGUUCAAAGGAAAUUCAUGUUCCCAGAACAGCACGAUGCCACGGAUCUCUCUGACACAUUACACACAUGCAUUGGAAAUGAAACGAUAACUUCCAACACCUCACACUUGGGCGAUAGUGUAUGCUAUGCUGAUAUCCAAGUUAAUAAAAUUGACACCAGUCAUUCCAUUAUGGGGAAUAAACCCCCAGUCUGGCCUACGGAUAAGACACCUAGACGGACAGUUAUUAGUAAGAGAGGCCACCUGACAUGGAGCUCUGAGGACAUGGACAGCCUUGCAGAGGAUUUAGACCAGGCUUCAACUCCCAAGAAAAGGAGGCUGUCCAGGAUGAACAGCAAAGAGGAAAUGACCGUGCAGAUAAAGAAUGAUAACAGAGAAGUUGCAGUGUGUCCAUCGAAGCGCUGGAGCCAUACGAUGUGUCUGAGCGACCCUGACACGGCCAUCGUCAUCGGAGGGGAGACGGCAGAUCAAAACUACUGCCAAGACUUCCUGUGGAAGCUCGAGUUAGACAAUGACUUCUGGUUCCCCAUGAACUCCUCCACCUCUGGACCCGUACCACCCUGUGCCCGAGGACACUCUGCGACCUAUGACCCAGACUCCAAGUCGGUCUUUGUUUACGGGGGCCUGAGGGAAGGUCAGCGCUACAGCGAGCUGUACAUCCUCAAUACUCUGACCUGGAAGUGGACGCUUGUCACUGCGGGAGGAAAUGUUCCAAAAUUGGCAUAUCACACUGCGGCUUUUUAUAAGAAAGAGCUUUUUGUCUUCGGUGGAGUUCAGCCGAGCCAGUCUUCUGAGGAUAAAUCCUGCAGCAACGCUCUGUACAUCUUCAACCCAGAGUUUGAACUCUGGUACCAGCCGAUUGUGGAAGGAGACAAACCUCUGCCUCGGUUUGGACACUCAGCCACACUGAUGUCACAGAAGUUGAUAAUAUUUGGUGGAAGGAAGACUGCUACCUACCUUAAUGAUCUCCAUGUUCUAGAUCUGGGAUUCAUGGAGUACACAGCUGUGAAGUGUGGGAACAUGCCACCACUGCCUCGAGGGUUUCAUGCAGCUCUGCCAAUCACAGACAACAGGAUUUUAAUCAGUGGAGGUUGCAGUGCAAUUGGGGCCCUGCAGGAUGUCCAUAUUUUCAACAUUGACACCAACAUGUGGAGCUCAGUGACGUCUCCCCUGUUUAGCUCCAAGCCUCGUGCGGGACACAGCAUGAUAAACCUGGGCUGCUCCGUCCUGACAGAUGCAGAGAAGCAUGAACAGGGUGAAAAUGUCAGGGCCCACUGCACAUUGCUGGUGUUUGGUGGAUCAGACUGCUCCGGUACCUUCUACAAUGACACCUUCAAGUGCACAGUGGAGAUUCCCCAUGACAAAUGAUGUUGACAAAUCCAUUCAGGACAAUUGUUUAUCAUUGUUUAACAGUGGAGGAUGCUCUGAUCUGCACUGACAGAAAAUUAGUCUCUCCAAGUGUGUGUAUCCUUUUAACAGUUAUUUUUCCUUCUGAUUGUUUCUUUCCAUGUUGCAUGAUGUAUUCUGCAGCUUAGGCUUUAUUGUUGUUUCCUUUUAUUACUUUAUCAGUCUCUUCUAUAACCAUGCAUACUUCCUCCACACAGGCAAUAUGCUGCAAGCGGUGAGCUCAGAGGUUUUGCACUUUGCAUAACAAAUAUCUGAAUGAUCUGCAUGUUUUACACAUUACUUUGUCCUACCUUGCCCCCACAUAGCAUAGCAGUACAUACAAUAUAAAAUGUAUAUCAAAAUGCCAAUAAAUAUUUUUGAUUUUCUUCUAAGUGUCCUUAAAAUAAAGUAAUGGAACUGAAAUAAGAUUAUUUUCAAAGUUUUUUUAUUCAACAAUUUACAAAAUUGCAUGGCUGCCUUUUAAAGCUGCAGAGUUGUUAUUCUAUGCACGCAGAUCAGCAGGUGUGUCCGGCUGACAAGACGGGCUGCUCACUUUGAAAGCUUCCAUCUCAACUAAGGUCUGACUACAUACCUCUCUGCAUUGUAGACCUGUGGGACCAGACAGAUGUCUGCCAUGGAUAUCUAAAUGG
RNA transcript from Centropristis striata (black sea bass), 2288 nucleotides. RefSeq lists it as uncharacterized. The record is from RefSeq and is a predicted model, not a curated record. NCBI's taxonomy places the organism in Eukaryota, Metazoa, Chordata, Actinopteri, Perciformes, Serranidae. The transcript has 12 exons.